This 1163-nucleotide ribosomal RNA is filed under the name human gut metagenome. Its description in RNAcentral is "bacterial SSU rRNA". It matches the Rfam family "Bacterial small subunit ribosomal RNA", at positions 312 to 1520 of the family's 1533-position model. The record is from RNAcentral.
ACUGGAACUGAGACACGGUCCAGACUCCUACGGGAGGCAGCAGUGAGGAAUCUUCCACAAUGGGCGAAAGCCUGAUGGAGCAACGCCGCGUGAAGGAUGAAGGCCUUCGGGUUGUAAACUUCUUUUAUGAGUGAAGAAUAUGACGGUAACUCAUGAAUAAGCACCGGCUAACUACGUGCCAGCAGCCGCGGUCAUACGUAGGGUGCAAGCAUUAUCCGGAGUGACUGGGCGUAAAGAGUUGCGUAGGCGGUUUAAUAAGUGAAUAGUGAAACCUGGUGGCUCAACCAUACAGACUAUUAUUCAAACUGUUAAACUCGAGAAUGGUAGAGGUAACUGGAAUUUCUAGUGUAGGAGUGAAAUCCGUAGAUAUUAGAAGGAACACCGAUGGCGUAGGCAGGUUACUGGGCCAUUUCUGACGCUAAGGCACGAAAGCGUGGGGAGCGAACCGGAUUAGAUACCCGGGUAGUCCACGCCGUAAACGAUGGAUACUAGCUGUUGGAGGUAUCGACCCCUUCAGUAGCGAAGCUAACGCGUUAAGUAUCCCGCCUGUGGAGUACGGCCGCAAGGCUAAAACAUAAAGGAAUUGACGGGGACCCGCACAAGCGGUGGAUUAUGUUCUUUAAUUCGAUGAUAACCGAAGAACCUUACCAGGGCUUGACAUCCAGGGAAGGUCUGCGAAAGUAGACUGUGCCUUUUGGAACCCUGUGACAGGUGAUGCAUGGCCGUCGUCAGCUCGUGUCGUGAGAUGUUAGGUUAAGUCCUUCAACGAGCGCAACCCUUGUGAAUAGUUGUAUUUUUCUAUUCAGACUGCCCCGGUAACGGGGAGGAAGGAGGGGAUGAUGUCAGGUCAGUAUUUCCCUUACGUCCUGGGCUAGAAACGUAAUACAAUGGCUAGUACAAUGCGCAGCGAAGCCGCGAGGUGAAGCAAAUCGCAUCAAAGCUAGUCCCAGUUCGGAUUGUAGGCUGAAACUCGCCUGCAUGAAGUCGGAAUCGCUAGUAAUCGCAAAUCAGCAAGUUGCGGUGAAUACGUUCCCGGGUCUUGUACACACCGCCCGUCAAACCAAGAUAGUGACCAACACCCGAAGUCCGAUUCGGCGGCCUAAGGUGGGGGGCAUGAAUGGGGUUAAGUCGUAACAAGGUAUCCGUACCGGAAGGUGCGGAUG